GUGAAGGUGCAGAGUUAAAGGUGCAGAGGGCAGCAGAAGAUGUUGCAUAAGAAGCAGCAGUGCAACUUUCCCCACCUUGCCACAUCAGUAAGCCUCAGUCCUGAUCUGAAGGGACCACUUAUAAGGUGAGAGGGUAGUUCAAUCUCUUGGUCAAUUCACUCAUCCUAACUGCU
Chelonoidis abingdonii (Abingdon island giant tortoise) is the source of this 173-nucleotide unclassified non-coding RNA. NCBI's taxonomy places the organism in Eukaryota, Metazoa, Chordata, Testudines, Testudinidae. The record is from Ensembl.